UCUCUGGUGGUCCAGUGGCUAAGACUCUGUGCUCCUAGAGCAGGGGGCCUGGGUUCAAUCCCUGGUCAGGGAA
This 73-nucleotide transfer RNA is filed under the name Bos taurus (domestic cattle). It matches the Rfam family "tRNA". Rfam says of the family: Transfer RNA (tRNA) molecules are approximately 80 nucleotides in length. The record is from Rfam by way of RNAcentral. RNAcentral also lists the same sequence under 4 other names. Lineage: Eukaryota; Metazoa; Chordata; Mammalia; Artiodactyla; Bovidae.